This 568-nucleotide ribosomal RNA is filed under the name uncultured Neisseriaceae bacterium. Its description in RNAcentral is "bacterial SSU rRNA". It matches the Rfam family "Bacterial small subunit ribosomal RNA", at positions 812 to 1381 of the family's 1533-position model. The record is from RNAcentral. Lineage: Bacteria; Pseudomonadati; Pseudomonadota; Betaproteobacteria; Neisseriales; Neisseriaceae.
ACAAUUAGCUGUUGGGACACUAGAUGUCUUAGUAGCGAAGCUAACGCGUGAAAUUGUCCGCCUGGGGAGUACGGUCGCAAGAUUAAAACUCAAAGGAAUUGACGGGGACCCGCACAAGCGGUGGAUGAUGUGGAUUAAUUCGAUGCAACGCGAAGAACCUUACCUGGUCUUGACAUGUACGGAAUCUCUUAGAGAUAGGAGAGUGCCUUCGGGAACCGUAACACAGGUGCUGCAUGGCUGUCGUCAGCUCGUGUCGUGAGAUGUUGGGUUAAGUCCCGCAACGAGCGCAACCCUUGUCAUUAGUUGCCAUCAUUAAGUUGGGCACUCUAAUGAGACUGCCGGUGACAAACCGGAGGAAGGUGGGGAUGACGUCAAGUCCUCAUGGCCCUUAUGACCAGGGCUUCACACGUCAUACAAUGGUCGGUACAGAGGGUAGCGAAGCCGCGAGGUGAAGCCAAUCUCAGAAAGCCGAUCGUAGUCCGGAUUGCACUCUGCAACUCGAGUGCAUGAAGUCGGAAUCGCUAGUAAUCGCAGGUCANCAUACUGCGGUGAAUACGUUCCCGGGUCU